AUGAACGCUGGCGGCGUGCCUAAUCCAUGCAAGUCGAGCGAACAGACGAGGAGCUUGCUCCUCUGACGUUAGCGGCGGACGGGUGAGUAACACGUGGAUAACCUACCUAUAAGACUGGGAUAACUUCGGGAAACCGGAGCUAAUACCGGAUAAUAUAUUGAACCGCAUGGUUCGAUAGUGAAAGACGGUUUUGCUGUCACUUAUAGAUGGAUCCGCGCCGCAUUAGCUAGUUGGUAAGGUAACGGCUUACCAAGGCAACGAUGCGUAGCCGACCUGAGAGGGUGAUCGGCCACACUGGAACUGAGACACGGUCCAGACUCCUACGGGAGGCAGCAGUAGGGAAUCUUCCGCAAAGGGCGAAAGCUUGACGGAGCAACGCCGCGUGAGUGAUGAAGGUCUUCGGAUCGUAAAACUCUGUUAUUAGGGAAGAACAAAUGUGUAAGUAACUAUGCACGUCUUGACGGUACCUAAUCAGAAAGCCACGGCUAACUACGUG
RNAcentral lists this ribosomal RNA (496 nucleotides) under uncultured bacterium. Its description in RNAcentral is "partial 16S ribosomal RNA". It matches the Rfam family "Bacterial small subunit ribosomal RNA", at positions 29 to 507 of the family's 1533-position model. The record is from RNAcentral.